AAGAAGGACACAAAGAACGCGGAAGAACAAGUCCUUUAUUGGAUUGACUUUUUAUUCCAUGCGUUUGCACCUUUUGUUCUUUCGUCUUGUUUCUUCGGUAUCAUUUUUACUUGGAUU
Molecule: non-coding RNA, 117 nt
Filed under: Karlodinium veneficum
Lineage: Eukaryota; Dinophyceae; Gymnodiniales; Kareniaceae
Source: RNAcentral